RNAcentral lists this ribosomal RNA (253 nucleotides) under uncultured bacterium. Its description in RNAcentral is "partial 16S ribosomal RNA". It matches the Rfam family "Archaeal small subunit ribosomal RNA", at positions 474 to 727 of the family's 1478-position model. The record is from RNAcentral.
UACCAGCACCCCGAGUGGUCGGGACGUUUAUUGGGCCUAAAGCAUCCGUAGCCGGUCCUGCGAGUCUUCCGUUAAAUCCAGCUGCUCAACAGAUGGGCUGCGGAAGAUACUACAGGGCUAGGAGGCGGGAGAGGCAAGCGGUACUUUAUGGGUAGGGGUAAAAUCCUUUGAUCCAUAGAAGACCACCAGUGGCGAAGGCGGCUUGCCAGAACGCGCUCGACGGUGAGGGAUGAAAGCUGGGGGAGCAAACCGG